This 5171-nucleotide long non-coding RNA is filed under the name Cinara cedri. Lineage: Eukaryota; Metazoa; Arthropoda; Insecta; Hemiptera; Aphididae. The record is from RNAcentral.
AUUACAAAUGAUUAUGUUAGAAAUUUAAAUGGCAAUUAUACAAGGUCUGACCAAUAAAUNGUAUAUUUAAAUAUUAAGAUACAUCGAUGUGAUCCCCUUCAAAGUACUCCCCUCCCACCCCUAUACACUGGUUCCAACGUUUUUUCCAGCUCUCAUAACAUUUCUGGAAGGCUUCGACUGGAAUGUCCUGAAGUACCCUUGUCAGGAUGUUCUGGAUGUCAGUUAUGGACUCAAAAUGCGUUCCUUUCAGGCCAAUAUUGUUUGAGGGAACAAAAAGAAGUCGCAGGGUAACAUAUCCUGCGAAUAGGGCGCUUGUGGAAACACUGCGAUGUUCUUAGAGGUCAAAAAUCUUAUAUAAACUAUUGAUAGAACAUAAAUGGAAACAUUAGACUUUUUAUAAUAUAUCUGUGGUACCCUACCAUACAAUUAUAUUGGACAACAAAGUUAAACGAAAAUGAAUAUAAAUUUUUAUUUUCAAGAAUAAAAUGUUAAAUUUUGUAAUUUAUAAUGCAGAAAGCAGAUUGAUAAAUUUAAAUGCUGAAUAAAAUGCUUUAAAAACCAAAAAAUGAUAGAUAAUUGCUUCAAAACAUAUAUUAAUUGAAAUUUGUAAUUUGUAACAAGAUAAAAAAAUAUAAACUACUGAGAUUGAAAAUAAAAUCAAAGAUCAGAAGCUCUAUAAGCAGGCGAAAUUUUGGAAUUCAAGACAUCCAUAAGCUUUGAAUAAAACAUUUAUUACUUUGCAGUCUGAAUUUGAUUUUUUUUAAAAUAAAACACAACCUAAAGUUUAUUUAAAAUGUAUUCGUGUUCAAUUGACAGAACUUAAUUUGAUAAACUAUUAAAAACUAUAUUAACAAGUGGUGAUUUUGAUUAAAUUUUCUUAUAACUUUUUAAAUCCAUCAUAAAGGUACAUUUAAAUAAAAGACAUGAUGAAUACAACUUAUCUUAAAAACAGGUAUAAUCAAAAGUUAAAUAGAUAGAAAUAAAUUUUGUAAAUUUUACUGUGAGGCUCAUUCCAUCGGGGUAAAUUUUGAUACCAACAUAUCAGGUUUUUUUUCUAUGCCUGUAUGUAUAGUUCCUAACAUUUUUAAUAGAUUCUUCAGAAUGCAAACAUAGGAAAAAAUUUAACCAGGUAUUAUUGUAUUUGAAGGUAAAAUUUAUGCACAUUGUACAAAUAUUAAAAAAUUAUAUAUUUUCCAAUUAUCAGAUACAAUCAAAAAAUAUACCUAUUAAGGGAUAAUAUUCUGUAAAAAAUUUUUUUUAAUUACAAAAUUAGUUACAUUCAUCUGACUUUUCUUCAAUAUAUGUCAAAAAGCCACAUCUAUUAGUUUUGGUUAGUUCUUUAGAAUCCAAAGGUAGGAUGUCAUAAAGUCUUUUUAGUAUGCCUCUAAACCCCGUAUCAACUGUGUUACUAUCUCUUAAAAGUCCAAAAGUUAGAUGCAUACACAAUUUGACUAGUUAUAGUUGUUUUCGCUAGUGACAUUUAUGCAUCUUGUUUAUAUAUUAAAAAACCAAAAAAUUUAAAUUUUACACAAGUUACAUUCAUGAGGUUUUUUUUCUGUAUAUGUCUAAAGUCUAUUCUUUACGGUUUAGGAUUGUUCUUUUUAAUACUAAAGGAAAAAGUUUUUAAUUUACUCGGGUGUUAUUGCAUUUGAGAGACAAAAAAAAACUUGAUAUUAUAAAUAAUUAACAAAACACAAAUUCGUCCUACCGAUAUUUUUUCAAUGUAGGAGGACGAUACUUUUAGUUGUUUUUAUCGAUCAGAAAGGAAAACAGGUCGUAGCACCAAUGUUUUAGCUCUGAUUUAUCGAUCAUUACCAGCAACAUAGCGAUGACAUUCCUUAACGAUAUUUCUAAAAUAUUGUAUACCAUUUUAAAAGAUAUCUGGUGUUCGAUAAACAAUUUUUAUUGAAUCUUAUACAACAUCAUAUUUAAAUGGCUUCUUUCUGCUAUGAAUCUUUGAUUAUUUAUACUUUUAUUAUGUUUUCAUAUAAGUAUUGUUACAUGAAUUACGUUCAUAAGGAUUUUUUAGUAUGCCCUUAAACCCUUUAUCAAACGGGUUUAUUUUUACUUCAAAAUCUAAAAGUUAGAUGCAUACACAAUUUGACUAUUUAAAGUCGUUUUCGCUAGUGAAACUAUGGUUAUUGGAUAUAUAUUAAAAAACCAAAAAAUUUAAAUUUUACACAAGUUACAUUCAUGAGGUUUUUUUUCUGUAUAUGUCUAAAGUCUAUUCUUUACGGUUUAGACUUGUACUUUUUAAUACAAAAGUAAAAAGUUUUCAAUUUCCUCGGGUGUUAUUGCACUUGAGAGACAAAAAAAAACUUGAUAUUAUGAAUAAUUAAAAAAAAACAAAUUCAUCCUACCAAUAUGUUUUCAAUGUAGGAGUAUGAUAUAUUUAGUUGUUUUUAUCGAUCAGAAAGGAAAACAGGUCGUAGCACCAAUGUUUUAGCUCUGAUUUAUCGAUCAUUACCAGCAACAUAGCGAUGACAUUCCUUAACGAUAUUUCUAAAAUAUUGUAUACCAUUUUAAAAGAUAUCUGGUGUUCGAUAAACAAUUUUUAUUGAAUCUUAUACAACAUCAUAUUUAAAUGGCUUUUUUCUGCUAUGAAUCUUUGAUUAUUUAUACUUUUAUUAUGUUUUCAUAUAAGAAUUGUUACAUGAAUUACGUUCAUAAGGGUUUUAGUAUGCCCUUUAACCCCUUAUCAAACGGGUUAUUAUUACAUCAAAAUCUAAAAGUUAGAUGCAUACACAAUUUGACUAUUUAAAGUCGUUUUCGCUAGUGAAACUAUGGUUAUUGGAUAUAUAUUAAAAAACCAAAAAAUUUAAAUUUUACACAAGUUACAUUCAUGAGGUUUUUUUUCUGUAUAUGUCUAAAGUCUAUUCUUUACGGUUUAGGUUUGUUCUUUUUAAUACAAAAGUAAAAAGUUUUCAAUUUCCUCGGGUGUUAUUGCACUUGAGAGACAAAAAAAAACUUGAUAUUAUGAAUAAUUAAAAAAAAACAAAUUCAUCCUACCAAUAUCUUUUCAAUGUAGGAGUAUGAUAUAUUUAGUUGUUUUUAUCGAUCAGAAAGGAAAACAGGUCGUAGCACCAAUGUUUUAGCUCUGAUUUAUCGAUCAUUACCAGCAACAUAGCGAUGACAUUCCUUAACGAUAUUUCUCAAAUAUUGUAUACCAUUUCUAAUGACAUCUGGUGUUUGAUAAAUAACUUUUAUUGAGUCUUAUACAACAUCACAUUUAAAUGGCUUCUCUCUGUUAUGAAUCUUUCAUUAUUUAUACUUUUAUUAUGUUUUCAUAUAAGUAUUGUUACAUGAAUUACGUUCAUAAGGAUUUUUUAGUAUGCCCUUAAACCCUUUAUCAAACGGGUUUAUUUUUACUUCAAAAUCUAAAAGUUAGAUGCAUACACAAUUUGACUAUUUAAAGUCGUUUUCGCUAGUGAAACUAUGGUUAUUGGAUAUAUAUUAAAAAACCAAAAAAUUUAAAUUUUACACAAGUUACAUUCAUGAGGUUUUUUUUCUGUAUAUGUCUAAAGUCUAUUCUUUACGGUUUAGGUUUGUUCUUUUUAAUACAAAAGUAAAAAGUUUUCAAUUUACUCGGGUGUUAUUGCAUUUGAGAGACAAAAAAAAACUUGAUAUUAUAAAUAAUUAACAAAAAACAAAUUCGUCCCACCGAUAUUUUUUCAAUGUAGGAGGACGAUAUUUUUAGUUGUUUUUAUCGAUCAGAAAGGAAAACAGGUCGUAGCACCAAUGUUUUAGCUCUNAGUAAAAAGUUUUCAAUUUCCUCGGGUGUUAUUGCACUUGAGAGACAAAAAAAAACUUGAUAUUAUGAAUAAUUAAAAAAAAACAAAUUCAUCCUACCAAUAUGUUUUCAAUGUAGGAGUAUGAUUUAUUUAGUUGUUUUUAUCGAUCAGAAAGGAAAACAGGUCGUAGCACCAAUGUUUUAGCUCUGAUUUAUCGAUCAUUACCAGCAACAUAGCGAUGACAUUCCUUAACGAUAUUUCUAAAAUAUUGUAUACCAUUUUAAAAGAUAUCUGGUGUUCGAUAAACAAUUUUUAUUGANUAGGAGUAUGAUAUAUUUAGUUGUUUUUAUCGAUCAGAAAGGAAAACGGGUCGUAGUACCAAAUCGUUAGCUUUGAUUUAUCGAUCAUUACCAGCAACAUAGCGAUGACAUUCCUUAACGAUAUUUCUUAAAUAUUGUAUACCAUUUUAAAAGAUAUCUGGUGUUCGAUAAACAAUUUUUAUUGAAUCUUAUACAACAUCAUAUUUAAAUGGCUUUUUUCUGCUAUGAAUCUUUGAUUAUUUAUACUUUUAUUAUGUUUUCAUAUAAGUAUUGUUACACGAAUUACGUUCAUAAGGAAUUUUGUAGUAUGGCUUUUAACCCCUUAUCAAACGGGUUUAUUUUUACUUCAAAAUCUAAAAGUUAGUUGCAUACACAAUUUGACUAGUUAUAGUCGUUUUCGCUAGUGAAACUUAUGCAUGUUGUUUAUAUAUUAAAAAACCAAAAAAAAAAAUUUUUACACAAGUUACAUUCAUGAGGUUUUUUUUCUCUAUAAGUCUCAAGUCUAUUCCAUACGGUUUAGACUUGAUCUUUUUUAUACAAAAGUAAAAAGUUUUCAAUUUGCUCGGGUGUUAUUGUGUUUGAGAAAAAAAAUAAACUUAAUAAUAUAAAUAUUAAGCAAAAAAUAAAUUAAUCCUACCGAUCUUUUAUCAAUGUCGGAGAAUGAAUUUUUUGUUGUUUUUUUAUCACUUAGAAAGAAAAAAAGUCGUAGUUAUAAAGAGUUGGCCGUUAUAGUUCAUCUAUUUCAGAGACAAAUUGACGAAAAUUUUUAAUUUUUAUAUUUCUGAUGAGUGUGAAGUAGUAUCCGUAUACUAUAGGUGUUGAAAGUUGCAAUCGUUUUGAUUUAUAAUGUCGAGGUUACAAUUAAAAUUUGUAUACGAAGAAAGAAUAUAAAAUGAAGUCGCAGGGAGACAGGUCGGGUGAAUAGGGUGGAUGGGACACAGUGGUCAUAUCGUUUUCGGUCAAAAACUGCCGUACAGAAAGGGCUGUGUGAGCAGGAGCAUUGUCGUGUUGAAAAAACCAGUCUCCUGACUGCCACAAAUCAGGUUUUUGUUCGCUUCAAACUGUUGCGUAAUCUUUUUAACACCUCUAGGUAAAUUGCCUGGUUAACUGUCUGACCAGA